This is a non-coding RNA of Deltaproteobacteria bacterium, 3732 nucleotides long. NCBI's taxonomy places the organism in Bacteria, Pseudomonadati, Myxococcota, Myxococcia. The record is from Rfam.
GGUCAAGCUACUAAGGGCGCUUGGUGGAUGCCUUGGCGGAGACUGGCGAUGAAGGACGUGUCUAGCUGCGAUAAGCUUCGGGGAGCUGCUAAGAGAGCUUUGAUCCGGAGAUGUCCGAAUAGGGAAACCUUCUCCCGUUCGCGGGAGAAUCUUCCAGCUGAAUUCAUAGGCUGGUUGAAGCGAACCCAGGGAACUGAAACAUCUCAUGUACCUGGAGGAAAAGAAAUCAAUUGAGAUUUCCUGAGUAGUGGCGAGCGAAAGGGAAAGAGUCUAAACCUAUGCUAACUUGUUAGCAUAGGGGUUGCGGGACUCCGAUAUGGGAUUGCGGAUGGAUAGUUGAACGGUCUGGAAAGGCCGGCCAUAGUAGGUGAUAGCCCUGUAAACGAAAUCUUGAAGCACCCUAGGAGUAUCCCAAGUACCGCGGGGCACGAGAAACCCUGUGGGAAUCCGGGUGGACCAUCAUCCAAGACUACAAUACAUGUCUCCGACCGAUAGUGAACUAGUACCGCGAGGGAAAGGUGAAAAGUACCCAGAGAUGGGAGUGAAAUAGUAUCUGAAACCAUGCGCUUACAAGCAGUCGAAGCACUAUGUCCCAAGAGCAAUCGAGGGAAAUGUGUAACGGCGUGCCUUUUGCAUAAUGAGUCAGCGAGUUACUUUUUGUAGCAAGGUUAAGUCCGCAAGUGGACGGAGCCGUAGCGAAAGCGAGUCUGAAUAGGGCGAUUUAGUUGCAAGGAGUAGACCCGAAACCUAGUGAUCUAUCCAUGGGCAGGAUGAAGGCUCGUUAAACCGGGCUGGAGGUCCGAACUGGUGACCGUUGAAAAGGUCUCGGAUGACCUGUGGAUAGGGGUGAAAGGCUUAUCAAACUGGGAAAUAGCUGGUUCUCCCCGAAAUAUAUUGAGGUAUAGCCUCGUCGGAUUCAUCACGGAGGUAGAGCUACUGGAUGGUCUAGGGUCCCUUACCGGGAUACCAAAACCAACCAAACUCCGAAUUCCGUGAAUGACGAAGACGGGAGUCAGACGGUGGGUGAUAAUGUCCAUCGUCAAAAGGGAAAGAGCCCAGACCAUCGGCUAAGGCCCCAAAAUACACGCUAAGUGGGAAAGGAUGUGGAAACGCACAGACAGCCAGGAGGUUGGCUUAGAAGCAGCCAUCCUUUAAAGAAAGCGUAAUAGCUCACUGGUCAAGUGAGUCCGCGCCGAAAAUGUAACGGGGCUUUAAAGCGUGUUGCCGAAGCCGUGGAUGGCCGCCAAUUUAUGGCGUACGUGGUAGGGGAGCAUUCUGUAAGCCUGCGAAGGAUGAUCGUAAGAACAUCUGGAGGUAUCAGAAGAGCUAAUGCUGACAUGAGUAGCGAUAAUGAUGGUGAAAAACCAUCACGCCGAAAACCCAAGGUUUCCUGAGCAAGGUUAAUCCUCUCAGGGUUAGUCGGUACCUAAGUCGAGGCCGAAAGGCGUAGAUGAUGGAUGGCAGGUUAAUAUUCCUGCACCGCUUUGGUUGCGUUAAAACCUUCGGGGUGACGAAGAAGGGUAAACAAUCGGUCGAUUGGAAGUGACCGUUUAAGCUCGUAGGAGGGUGUCCUAGGUAAAUCCGGGAUGCCAUUAACUCCGAGAAGUGAGUACGACUGAUUCCACUUCGGUGGAUGAUGAUAGUUGUUGAUCCCAUGCUUCCGAGAAAACCCUCGUCGGGAGUUACCAAGGUGACCGUACCGGAAACCGACACAGGUGGGUGAGGUGAAAAUCCUAAGGCGCUUGAGUGAUCUCUGGCUAAGGAACUCUGCAAAUUGAUGCCGUAACUUAGGGAGAAGGCAUGCCUCAUGAUGUGAGUACCCUCGCGGUACAAAGCGUUAUGGGGUCGCAGUGAAACGGUGGUAGCGACUGUUUAACAAAAACACAGGGCUCUGCUAAGUCGAUUAAAGACGAAGUAUAGGGUCUGACGCCUGCCCGGUGCUGGAAGGUUAAGGAGAGAUGUCAUCUGCCGCAAGGUGGAGAAGCUUCGAACCGAAGCCCCAGUAAACGGCGGCCGUAACUAUAACGGUCCUAAGGUAGCGAAAUUCCUUGUCGGGUAAGUUCCGACCUGCACGAAUGGCGUAACGACUGCCACACUGUCUCGGCCAGAAGCUCAGCGAAAUUGAAUUUGCGGUGCAAAUGCCGCAUUCCCGCGGAAAGACGGAAAGACCCUGUGCACCUUUACUAUAACUUGACAUUGAACUUCGGGGCGGUUUGUGUAGGAUAGGUGGGAGACUUUGAAGUUUCGGCGCUAGCCGGAAUGGAGUCAACCUUGAAAUACCACCCUGAUUGUUCUGGAGUUCUAACAGAUACCCGUUAUCCGGGUACUGGACACUGUCUGGUGGGUAGUUUGACUGGGGCGGUCGCCUCCUAAAUUGUAACGGAGGCGCGCAAAGGUUCUCUCAGGCUGAUUAGAAACCAGCCGUUGAGUGCAAAGGCAUAAGAGAGCUUAACUGUGAGACCAACAAGUCGAGCAGAUGGGAAACCAGGUCUUAGUGAUCCGGUGGUUCUGAAUGGAAGGGCCAUCGCUCAUCGGAUAAAAGGUACGCCGGGGAUAACAGGCUGAUCUCCCCCAAGAGUUCACAUCGACGGGGAGGUUUGGCACCUCGAUGUCGGCUCAUCGCAUCCUGGGGCUGAAGUAGGUCCCAAGGGUUUGGCUGUUCGCCAAUUAAAGCGGUACGCGAGCUGGGUUCAGAACGUCGUGAGACAGUAGACUGUUGCUGUCUAAAAAUCUGGCUAUAUGCUGGAAAAUCUGUAGAAUCCGACAGUACUCUCUGUAAGGGAGUAAAAAUCUGAUCGGUGCAGACAAUCAGCAGGAAAGGUCAGGGAAAUGGAUAAUCAUUAUAUCGCAGGUUUUGUUGAUGGAGAAGGCAGCUUUCAUGUUGCCUUCCAACGUAGCGAUGAUGUUAGGUUGGGAUGGCAGGUUAUUCCUGAAUUCCAUCUAAGUCAGAACGUAUCCAGUAGAAAUGUUCUUGAAGUUAUUCAAGGGCGUUUUGGUUGUGGUUCAAUAAAAGAAAAUCAUCGUGAACGUUUGAAUGAUCAUACUUAUGUACUUGUGAUCAGAGACAGGCAAGACCUGACUAAAAAAGUGAUUCCUUUUUUUGAACGCUAUCCAUUGCACACUCAAAAGAAAAAUGAUUUUGCCAUUUUUAGGCAAAUUGUUGAGAUGAUGAAUCAGAAACUUCAUCUCUCAUCAAAAAGUUUUUCUGAGAUUGUGAAUUUGGCUUAUUCUAUGAAUGCCAACGGAUAUCGACGAAAGGUUCCAAAAAAUGAAAUCCUUAGUACCCUGAAAUCCUCAGAGACUAUACGCCAGAAUCAGUUAAAGGCUGAUAAGAUAUAGUCCGAACUGCAUGGCGACAUGCAGAGCCUGCUUCGCAGCAGGCCGUCCGCCUAAGGCGGAUCAGUACUCCGAAUUUCGGAGGAAGUAACAGAUUGUCGGUCCCUAUCUUCCGUGGGUGGAGGAGAUUUGCGGGGAUCUGUCCCUAGUACGAGAGGACCGGGAUGGACGAACCUCUGGUGCACCAGUUGUCACGCCAGUGGCAUUGCUGGGUAGCUAUGUUCGGAUCCGAUAACCGCUGAAAGCAUCUAAGUGGGAAACGGACCCCAAAACUAGAUCUCCCUCUCCAUAAGGAGCUUAAAGACCCCUUGUAGAUUACGAGGUUGAUAGGCCGGAUGUGUAAGUCCCGUAAGGGAUUAAGCUAACCGGUACUAAUUGGUCGAGAGGCUUGACCUU